This 2717-nucleotide long non-coding RNA is filed under the name Volvox carteri. RNAcentral describes it as "long non-coding RNA (VCAR_LNC000423)". Lineage: Eukaryota; Viridiplantae; Chlorophyta; Chlorophyceae; Chlamydomonadales; Volvocaceae. The record is from RNAcentral.
GGCUAUUUGCGGCUGUGGAUAAAGGAAACUAAUGUAAGUGUGCGGCCAAGUGGAAACACCCUGUUGAAGUUAAGCGCCUGCAGGCAUCGGGAUGGAACCAAGGUUUUUAGUAGAGUGCUACUGAACCGUUUGUCAUGGGUUAUUUAAUAUGCUCAUUCCAAAUGACAUUUCGAUGGCAGGCAGGGUGUCGAUGAAGGUGGGCGUAACUGUUUGCGUAAUUGGGAUGGCGGCUCUUAGGACCAUGGAAGGAUCAAUGAAUAACCUGAGCGGUAAGACGUUGGCUGAAUAAUAAAGGGUUUGCGUUAAUUUUUCAGUUUGAAAAUAUAAUGGUUACCGUAUAACGCUGCUUCUGUUGCAGGCAAGGGUGGGCGCAUAAGGAAAUGAGGAGAGGAAGCUUCUGGUGCAACCCCAUAUUCUGUCGUAUAAUGAAUUGAGGCGCUUUUGUUAGGUGACAACCGCAGGAAGGGACUUCUUUUGCCUCCUGGGACAUCUUGCGAACUCCGACAGGCUCCGACUCGUAGGACAUAAGAUGUGCGUAAGAUGUACGAAGGAGCCGCGCUGCAACAUCCAUUUUAUUACGGUUAUCUACAAGGGUGAUUAAGCAUAACGAUUAGCUGGAUGAUGCAAUGUCUUGCUUGUUUUUGUUGCAAGUUUCUUGAGGUCGAAAGGCCGACAUGCGCCCUGCCUAACCCUUUUCGCUGGGCAGCGCCACAUUCUGCGGUGUACUUGCACGGAUUGUUGCAUUAUGACUGCUCGUGCAUUCAUAAUGCACCUGUCUAAGAGACAUCGCCUACGACUCUUUACCCUAAGAUGCUUUCCCCUUUUUGAAAUCACGUAAGGGCUCUUAAAUCCUGGUUGUUUCUGAACUCAUGCCGUGUCCGCCGAGCACUUAGCAGGUGGUAUGGUCCUGACUUGAAGCAUUCAGCUAAGAGGCCGCAAGACUUGUGCGCUUUGGUCCAGUUCGUUGACGGCGGUUUAUUGCAACAAAAUGAUGCCCUGUUGCUUCUGUUGCACCGACGGAGACGUGCAACUGCCAUCGCUUGUCAUAUCGAACCUUCGAAACAGCUGCGAGUGCCGACAAUCGAAAUUGACUAAAUCCUCUUAUGCGUUCGGCCCGUGUUGCGGCGCGUGAAGGACGGGUGGCGGAAGAUUUUAAUUCAAACAUCGCAGUGCAAACAGCAUUGCGCGCACUCAUCAGCCUAUCUACCAUCCGCUACAGCUUUUUUGUACUGAAAUAAACUACUAGAAACAAGUCAAAUCCCUUACUGCUUCAAGAUAUUCAGGUCGGCUGCGAUUGGGGUUCCUUAGGGUUGCGGUAUCCAAUAUUUGUGCACGUGGACGUCCACGAGUACCGUCGGCUCGGUACAUCGUUGUCGAUGCGCUAAUCGUUUUCUAGUGGUGUUAUUUAUGAUGCGUAGGAAGUAAGCGUGGUGUCGUAUGCUCUGCCGCGGUAGCCUUGAUGCAAUGGAGCUUACGUGAUGGCGGCCUCAUGCAUAUGCACAGCUGAAGAUAGACAGCAAAGGGCCCUCAACAAUGCCCGAAAGAUAGCGGUACUCCGGCUUCAUUAUAACAUUGAAAUGGACGAAAAGUAUUAUAUGCCCUUUGCAAAAUGUCCUCAGUCAGCCAGGUAUUGUGAAUACGAAUGAAGGCUCAGACUUAAACUGCAGCCAAGAGGUAAUUAAUAGUAUAUGCAUUGAAAAUAUAUGCAUUAAGUGAUGACCUCACAGCCUGAAUAAGGCGCAAUGAGAAGUGCGCGGCUCACAUUCUUCCAGGGUGUAAAGUGUUACCCUUUCAAGGGUGAUAAGCUUCGACAGCUUACGAUGAGAGUUAGGUAAAAGCGAGCUUCGGUCAAAGAUAGGUUUGGAGACUAAUGCUAAUGACAAGGGGAGGGAAAAAGUCAUAAUACGCAAUGCGUUCAAUAAUUAGCUUUUACCCUAAAAUUGAGUGUGUACGGCACUUCCUUAAAGCUGCAUACGGUAAUGAUUGUAUCAUCGCCAGCAACGUGCUAAAUGUUCCAGUGCGGAGCACAUGAAAAAUAUUGUGUGCGACUUAUGCGCACAUGUGAUUUUUUAUUUUGUCGAGGGUCAAUCAUUAAGGCCAUGCGCUGCUUUUGCUUUGAAAUCACUAAGAAGCGGCAUGGAAACCAGUACAGCUACUGCCCCCGUUUCAUGGAUAACAUCCUUAGCGGCCACUUCCCCCAAAUCAAGCCCUUUAAGCAAAAAUAAAAACUAUCCUGCUGUCAUGGUGGAUGCAAAAUCCAAAAACUGUUGCAGUUUCAGGGCAUUCCCGGAUGUACGGCGCCACCCCCGAUGCAGCGACUUAAGUCUACGACUUUCCUAAUUAUAUAUAAGCUUUUCAUAUCUGUUAGAGACGUUUAUGUUAAUUUGUGCUUGCACUUGCUAAGAUAUUGAACCCCGCAACGGGGUCGAUUAAACGUACACACUGACCCCUUGUUUGGUCGACAGCAACUCCCCAGUGCCAAAACAAUUUCUUGUCAGAUUAUUUUGCAAAUUUUGCUUAGUGCAAUAGACAGCAGUCCCUCUACAGCGUCGCACCUGACUUCUUGAAUGGUCAUCGCAUUACACGCUGACUGUCUUCCAGAUAUGAGGACAUCCCAGCGGAGCGCUGCCCUCAAGAUGAGGCUUUCAACAAUUAUUUUGACGAUUCUUUUCGCCACCGGGAGUCACAGACUCGUGUAUGCCUCACAAAGGCGGGCA